UCUUUAUGGGGUGAUGCGUACCUUUGUAUAAUGGGUCAGCGACUUAUAUUCUGUAGCAAGGUUAACCGAAUAGGGGAGCCGAAGGGAAACCGAGUCUUAACUGGGCGUUAAGUUGCAGGGUAUAGACCCGAAACCCGGUGAUCUAGCCAUGGGCAGGUUGAAGGUUGGGUAACACUAACUGGAGGACCGAACCGACUAAUGUUGAAAAAUUAGCGGAUGACUUGUGGCUGGGGGUGAAAGGCCAAUCAAACCGGGAGAUAGCUGGUUCUCCCCGAAAGCUAUUUAGGUAGCGCCUCGUGAACUCAUCUCCGGGGGUAGAGCACUGUUUCGGCAAGGGGGUCAUCCCGACUUACCAACCCGAUGCAAACUGCGAAUACCGGAGAAUGUUAUCACGGGAGACACACGGCGGGUGCUAACGUCCGUCGUGAAGAGGGAAACAACCCAGACCGCCAGCUAAGGUCCCAAAGUCAUGGUUAAGUGGGAAACGAUGUGGGAAGGCCCAGACAGCCAGGAUGUUGGCUUAGAAGCAGCCAUCAUUUAAAGAAAGCGUAAUAGCUCACUGGUCGAGUCGGCCUGCGCGGAAGAUGUAACGGGGCUAAACCAUGCACCGAAGCUGCGGCAGCGACACUGUGUGUUGUUGGGUAGGGGAGCGUUCUGUAAGCCUGUGAAGGUGUACUGUGAGGUAUGCUGGAGGUAUCAGAAGUGCGAAUGCUGACAUAAGUAACGAUAAAGCGGGUGAAAAGCCCGCUCGCCGGAAGACCAAGGGUUCCUGUCCAACGUUAAUCGGGGCAGGGUGAGUCGACCCCUAGGCGAGGCCGAAAGGCGUAGUCGAUGGGAAACAGGUUAAUAUUCCUGUACUUGGUGUUACUGCGAAGGGGGGACGGAGAAGGCUAUGUUGGCCGGGCGACGGUUGUCCCGGUUUAAGCGUGUAGGCUGGUUUUCCAGGCAAAUCCGGAAAAUCAAGGCUGAGGCGUGAUGACGAGGCACUACGGUGCUGAAGCAACAAAUGCCCUGCUUCCAGGAAAAGCCUCUAAGCAUCAGGUAACAUCAAAUCGUACCCCAAACCGACAC
This 1071-nucleotide ribosomal RNA is filed under the name Escherichia sp. E2661. Its description in RNAcentral is "partial 23S ribosomal RNA". It matches the Rfam family "Bacterial large subunit ribosomal RNA", at positions 584 to 1660 of the family's 2925-position model. The record is from RNAcentral. Lineage: Bacteria; Pseudomonadati; Pseudomonadota; Gammaproteobacteria; Enterobacterales; Enterobacteriaceae.